Rhincodon typus (whale shark) is the source of this 1360-nucleotide long non-coding RNA. RefSeq lists it as uncharacterized. The transcript has 3 exons. The record is from RefSeq and is a predicted model, not a curated record. Lineage: Eukaryota; Metazoa; Chordata; Chondrichthyes; Orectolobiformes; Rhincodontidae.
CAAAAGGAACAUUCCAGACCUAUGUUGAAUCAAUUCCUUUCCUGAAACCAAUUCAAAAGGGUCAUUUCUAAGUUGUAGGAGUCAUUCAAAUACAAAAGCACUCGUCUCAACUCUCUCAAGUUGUCAAACAAGACAGGAUGAAUGGAAACAACAAAAGAACUUUCAACUUGUGGAAAUUACAUGCUCAAUGAUACGCCACCAUUUAGAGGAGAGGCUUGAAAUUCCUGGACUACUUCUAAUGCAGUAGUUCAUCAAAAGAAGAUUUAAUAAAUGUUUCAGAUUGAUUGCUCAAGGCCCAGGUGGAGCAGGAAGCCACAUUCUUCUGACUCAAAGAGUCAAAAGCAGUGGCUGGGUUGGGCAAUCGUGAGGUCACUGGCCCAGAAGUUCUGCUCCACUGAUGUCACCCCACAUCAUAUGGUGAAGACGGAUAACAUUACAAGCUGAUUGUAAGCCAAAAACUGAGCCACUCAUAGACCACAGAAGCAGCAGGAAGAUUUUCAAUUUUCCACAAUGAGUAUAAGCAGAAGACUGCUGACAGUUCGGGUUACUGCACAGGCUGCAGGGCAGAGAAAAUUAAACUGCUGUGUGGAAGUGUGAACAUAGAUUUCACAAUGAUUAUGAAAUCUGUGUUCUCUCUUUUAUUGAAGGAAAUUUCCCAAAGAUCAAAGAGAAUGCUCUCCCCUAGUCCAAAGAAAGUUCCUUUCAAUAGUAAAUGGAAUGUUCUUGAGCAAUUUCUGAUAAUAGGACUGAUCGAGUGACAAUUUUGUACUUAGCUGCGACUCAGAAAAUAAUACAUUCUCCAAGUCUGAAAUUUAUAAGUUCAAACCUCACUUCAAAGACCCAAGAAUAUGAACUAGGCUGACUCUGCAAUGCAGUAGUGACAUGUUGCUGCCAUGUCACAGGUGCCGUCUUUCAAAUGAAAUGCAAAACCUGAGGUUCAGUCCACUCUCUCGAAGGAUGUAAAACUAUUCAAAGGACAGCGAUGCUCUUCUUGCUUAGUAUUUGGUGAACAUGUAACAUCUUCUAUUUUGUUAGUCACCAGGAACACCCGAAUGUCAACUAACCUGAUACAACAAUAGGUGUAUUUUCUACCUCAAGACAGGUACCACUGCAAUACAAAUGCACAUCCAUUGAAACCACCCCGAUUCAUACGCAAACACAGAAUUGACAGAUUGGAACUACAACUUUGAAGCUCAUCAAAGUUAGGCCUGUAUCAGAAUAAGGCUUAUUUCUAGACAGAUACUGUAAUACAUAAUUUCUUGUUCCUAUGCAAUUGAUGUUAUUAGGUUUGUCUGUUAUUGUUGCAUAUAUGUGGUAAAGGCGCAAUGCAGAAUAAAUGCCUGAAGUCCCACAUAAUUUA